Molecule: ribosomal RNA, 501 nt
Filed under: uncultured bacterium
Lineage: Bacteria
Description: partial 16S ribosomal RNA
Rfam family: Bacterial small subunit ribosomal RNA
Source: RNAcentral
AUUGAACGCUGGCGGCAGGCUUAACACAUGCAAGUCGAGCGGAGAUGAGGUGCUUGCACCUUAUCUUAGCGGCGGACGGGUGAGUAAUGCUUAGGAAUCUGCCUAUUAGCGGGGGACAACAUUCCGAAAGGAAUGCUAAUACCGCAUACGUCCUACGGGAGAAAGCAGGGGAUCUUCGGACCUUGCGCUAAUAGAUGAGCCUAAGUCGGAUUAGCUAGUUGGUGGGGCAAAGGCCUACCAAGGCGACGAUCUGUAGCGGGUCUGAGAGGAUGAUCCGCCACACUGGGACUGAGACACGGCCCAGACUCCUACGGGAGGCAGCAGUGGGGAAUAUUGGACAAUGGGGGGAACCCUGAUCCAGCAAUGCCGCGUGUGUGAAGAAGGCCUUAUGGUUGUAAAGCACUUUAAGCGAGGAGGAGGCUACUGAGACUAAUACUCUUGGAUAGUGGACGUUACUCGCAGAAUAAGCACCGGCUAACUCUGUGCCAGCCGCCGCCGUAA